GAUGAACGCUGGCGGCGUGCCUAAUACAUGCAAGUCGAGCGAACUGAUUAGAAGCUUUCUUCUAUGACGUUAGCGGCGGACGGGUGAGUAACACGCAGGCAACCUGCCUGUAAGACUGGGAUGACUUCGGGGAACCGAAGCUAAUACCGGAUAGGAUCUUCUCCUUCAUGGGAGAUGAUUGAAAGAUGGUUUUGGCUAUCGCUUAGCGAUGGGCCCGCGGGGCAUUAGCUAGUUGGGGAGGUAACGGCUCACCAAGGCAACGAUGCAUAGCCGACCUGGGAGGGUGAUCGGCCACACUGGGACUGAGACACGGCCCAGACUCCUACGGGAGGCAGCAGUAGGGAAUCUUCGGCAAUGGACGAAAGUCUGACGGAGCAACGCCGCGUGAGUGAUGAAGGCUUUCGGGUCGUAAAACUCUGUUGUUAGGGAAGAACAAGUACGAGAGUAACUGCUCGUACCUUGACGGUACCUAACCAGAAAGCCACGGCUAACUACGUGCCAGCCGCCGCGGUAA
This 514-nucleotide ribosomal RNA is filed under the name uncultured bacterium. Its description in RNAcentral is "partial 16S ribosomal RNA". It matches the Rfam family "Bacterial small subunit ribosomal RNA", at positions 28 to 523 of the family's 1533-position model. The record is from RNAcentral.